GAUGAACGCUGGCGGUAGGCCUAACACAUGCAAGUCGAACGGCAGCACAGGAGAGCUUGCUCUCUGGGUGGCGAGUGGCGGACGGGUGAGGAAUACAUCGGAAUCUACUCUGUCGUGGGGGAUAACGUAGGGAAACUUACACUAAUACCGCAUACGACCUACGGGUGAAAGCAGGGGAUCUUCGGACCUUGCGCGAUUGAAUGAGCCGAUGUCGGAUUAGCUAGUUGGCGGGGUAAAGGCCCACCAAGGCGACGAUCCGUAGCUGGUCUGAGAGGAUGAUCAGCCACACUGGAACUGAGACACGGUCCAGACUCCUACGGGAGGCAGCAGUGGGGAAUAUUGGACAAUGGGCGCAAGCCUGAUCCAGCCAUACCGCGUGGGUGAAGAAGGCCUUCGGGUUGUAAAGCCCUUUUGUUGGGAAAGAAAUCCAGCUGGCUAAUACCCGGUUGGGAUGACGGUACCCAAAGAAUAAGCACCGGCUAACUUCGUGCCAGCCGCCGCAGUAA
RNAcentral lists this ribosomal RNA (506 nucleotides) under uncultured bacterium. RNAcentral's name for it is "partial 16S ribosomal RNA". It matches the Rfam family "Bacterial small subunit ribosomal RNA", at positions 28 to 523 of the family's 1533-position model. The record is from RNAcentral.